Molecule: non-coding RNA, 23 nt
Filed under: Cricetulus griseus (Chinese hamster)
Lineage: Eukaryota; Metazoa; Chordata; Mammalia; Rodentia; Cricetidae
Source: RNAcentral
UGUACAGCUUUAAUCCCAGGACU